UACCUAUAAGACUGGGAUAACUUCGGGAAACCGGAGCUAAUACCGGAUAAUAUAUUGAACCGCAUGGUUCAAUAGUGAAAGACGGUUUUGCUGUCACUUAUAGAUGGAUCCGCGCCGCAUUAGCUAGUUGGUAAGGUAACGGCUUACCAAGGCGACGAUGCGUAGCCGACCUGAGAGGGUGAUCGGCCACACUGGAACUGAGACACGGUCCAG
This 213-nucleotide ribosomal RNA is filed under the name uncultured Staphylococcus sp. RNAcentral's name for it is "partial 16S ribosomal RNA". It matches the Rfam family "Bacterial small subunit ribosomal RNA", at positions 127 to 334 of the family's 1533-position model. The record is from RNAcentral. Lineage: Bacteria; Bacillati; Bacillota; Bacilli; Caryophanales; Staphylococcaceae.